ACAUGAAGCUGGAAUCGCUAGUAAUCGCGGAUCAGAAUGCCGCGGUGAAUACGUUCCUGGGUCUUGUACACACCGCCCGUCACACCAUGGGAGUCGGAAAUGCCCGAAGUCUGUGACCCAACCGCGAGGAGGGAGCAGCCGAAGGCAGGUCGGAUGACUGGGUGAAGUCGUAACAAGGUAUC
This 182-nucleotide ribosomal RNA is filed under the name uncultured bacterium. Its description in RNAcentral is "partial 16S ribosomal RNA". It matches the Rfam family "Bacterial small subunit ribosomal RNA", at positions 1318 to 1500 of the family's 1533-position model. The record is from RNAcentral.